RNAcentral lists this ribosomal RNA (516 nucleotides) under uncultured bacterium. RNAcentral's name for it is "bacterial SSU rRNA". It matches the Rfam family "Bacterial small subunit ribosomal RNA", at positions 9 to 526 of the family's 1533-position model. The record is from RNAcentral.
GAGUUUGAUCCUGGCUCAGGAUGAACGCUGGCGGCGUGCUUAACACAUGCAAGUCGAACGGGAAACCUUUUAUUGAAGCUUCGGCAGAUUUAGCUGGUUUCUAGUGGCGGACGGGUGAGUAACGCGUGGGUAACCUGCCCUAUACAGGGGGAUAACAACCAGAAAUGGUUGCUAAUACCGCAUAAGCGCACAGGACCGCAUGGUCCGGUGUGAAAAACUCCGGUGGUAUAGGAUGGACCCGCGUUGGAUUAGCCAGUUGGCAGGGUAACGGCCUACCAAAGCGACGAUCCAUAGCCGGCCUGAGAGGGUGAACGGCCACAUUGGGACUGAGACACGGCCCAGACUCCUACGGGAGGCAGCAGUGGGGAAUAUUGCACAAUGGGGGAAACCCUGAUGCAGCGACGCCGCGUGGAGGAAGAAGGUCUUCGGAUUGUAAACUCCUGUUGUUGGGGAAGAUAAUGACGGUACCCAACAAGGAAGUGACGGCUAACUACGUGCCAGCCGCCGCGGUAAUAC